AAAAGAGAGCAAGGGCGCAUGGUGGAUGCCUAGGCUCACGGAGGCGACGAAGGGCGUGGUAAGCUGCGAAAAGCCCCGGUAAGGCGCAAACGGCCUUUGACCCGGGGAUCCCCGAAUGGGACAACCCGGCCGCCUGAAGGGCGGUCACCAUGACGAAUGUCAUGGGGCGAACGCGGGGAACUGAAACAUCUUAGUACCCGCAGGAAGAGAAAACAAAAGUGAUUCCCUUAGUAGUGGCGAGCGAACGGGGAGAAGCCCAAACCGGGCCGGUUUCGGCCGGUCCGGGGUAGUAGGGCCGCGAUAUUGCACGUUGGGAGUCGAGCGGAACCGUCUGGAAAGUCGGGCCGUAGCGGGUGAGAGCCCCGUACGCGAAGUCUCCCGUGGCAUAGCGGACCCCUGAGUAGCGCGGGACACGUGAAAUCCUGCGUGAAUCCGCCGGGACCAUCCGGCAAGGCUAAAUACUCCCGUGAGACCGAUAGUGUACCAGUACCGUGAGGGAAAGGUGAAAAGCACUCCGACGAGGAGGGUGAAAUAGAUCCUGAAACCAUGCGCCUACAAGCGGUCGGAGCAUGAUGAAUCAUGUGACGGCGUGCCUUUUGCAUAAUGAGCCUGCGAGUUGCCGUCACGGGCGAGGUAUGGCGUCUGGAGGCGCCGCGCCGCAGUGAAAGCGAGCCUGAAAAGGGCGUUGAGUCCGUGGAGGCAGACGCGAAACCGAGUGAUCUACACUUGUCCAGGGUGAAGUCCCGGUAACACGGGAUGGAGGCCCGCACCGAUAAGCGUUGAAAAGCUUCCGGAUGAGGUGAGUGUAGGAGUGAAAGGCCAAUCAAACUCGGAGAUAGCUCGUACUCCCCGAAAUGCAUUUAGGUGCAGCGUGCCGUGUUCCGCACGAGAGGUAGAGCGACCGAUAGGACGCGAGGGCUUCACCGCCUAUCAAGUCCUGACGAACUCCGAAUGCUCGUGCGCAGAAGCGGCGCAGUGAGGGGGCGGGUGCUAAGGUCCGUCCCCGAGAGGAGAAGAAUCCGGACCGCCGUCUAAGGUCCCGGAAUCCUGCCUGAGUCAGUCUAACGAAGUGUGACUCCUGAGACAGCCAGGAUGUUGGCUUGGAAGCAGCCAUUCAUUCAAAGAGUGCGUAACAGCUCACUGGUCGAGGGGUCGUGCGUGGAUAAUAAUCGGGUGUAAGGCAGGUACCGAAGGCGCGGGAUAGAAAUACUAAAAGUAUCGGUAGGGGAGCAUUCCAUGUCCGUCGAAUGCGUACGGUGACGUACUCUGGAGGUCAUGGAAAAGCAAAUGCAGGCAUAAGUAACGAUAAGGAGGGUGAGAUUCCCUCCCGCCGGAAGGCCAAGGUUUCCCGGGCAAUGCCAAUCAGCCCGGGGUCAGUCGGGUCCUAAGGCUCAGCCGAGCGGCGAGGUCGAUGGACAAACGGUCAACAUUCCGUUACUGCCAUCAGGAGCGAUGCGGGGACGGAGCAGUGGAACCACCGCGGGGUGACGGAAAUCCCCGUUGAAGGGUGUAGCCGUUGAGGGACGUAGUGAAGUACGCGUUCCGAGGCGAACCUGACAGUACCGCUUUCCCCUCGGGGACGGUGGACAGUGUGGGUAAUCAGACUCCCGAGAAAAUCCGCUAAGCGUUAAUCCUGUAGGCACCCGUACCGUAAACGGACACACGUGGCCAAGUAGAAUAUACUGAGGCGUUGGAAGAUUCAUGGUUAAGGAACUAGGCAAACUGACCCCGUAACUUCGGGAGAAGGGGUCCUCGCGUAGCAGCGAGGCGCAGAGAAUAGGUCCAGGCAACUGUUUACCAAAAACACAGGGCUGUGCGAAAUCGAAAGAUGCAGUAUACAGCCUGACACCUGCCCGGUGCCGGAAGGUUAAGAGGAGUCGUCACCCUUCGGGGGAAGCGUCGAAUUGAAGCCCCGGUAAACGGCGGCCGUAACUAUAACGGUCCUAAGGUAGCGAAAUUCCUUGUCGGGUAAGUUCC
Molecule: ribosomal RNA, 1977 nt
Filed under: human gut metagenome
Description: bacterial LSU rRNA
Rfam family: Bacterial large subunit ribosomal RNA
Source: RNAcentral